AUUGAACGCUGGCGGCAUGCCUUACACAUGCAAGUCGAACGGUAACAGGUCUUCGGAUGCUGACGAGUGGCGAACGGGUGAGUAAUACAUCGGAACGUGCCUAGUAGUGGGGGAUAACUACUCGAAAGAGUGGCUAAUACCGCAUGAGAUCUACGGAUGAAAGCAGGGGAUCGCAAGACCUUGUGCUACUAGAGCGGCCGAUGGCAGAUUAGGUAGUUGGUGGGAUAAAAGCUUACCAAGCCGACGAUCUGUAGCUGGUCUGAGAGGACGAUCAGCCACACUGGGACUGAGACACGGCCCAGACUCCUACGGGAGGCAGCAGUGGGGAAUUUUGGACAAUGGGCGCAAGCCUGAUCCAGCAAUGCCGCGUGCAGGAUGAAGGCCUUCGGGUUGUAAACUGCUUUUGUACGGAACGAAAAGCCCUGGGUUAAUACCCUGGGGUCAUGACGGUACCGUAAGAAUAAGCACCGGCUAACUACGUGCCAGCCGCCGCCGUAA
This 498-nucleotide ribosomal RNA is filed under the name uncultured bacterium. RNAcentral describes it as "partial 16S ribosomal RNA". It matches the Rfam family "Bacterial small subunit ribosomal RNA", at positions 30 to 523 of the family's 1533-position model. The record is from RNAcentral.